CAUGCAUGUCUAAGUAUAAGCAAUUAUACCGCGAAACUGCGAAUGGCUCAUUAUAUAAGUUAUCGUUUAUUUGAUAAUACUUUACUACUUGGAUAACCGUGGUAAUUCUAGAGCUAAUACAUGCUGAAAAUCCCGACUUCGGAAGGGAUGUAUUUAUUAGAUUAAAAACCAAUGCCCCUCGGGGCUCUCUGGUGAAUCAUGAUAACUAGUCGAAUCGACAGGCCUUGUGCCGGCGAUGGCUCAUUCAAAUUUCUUCCCUAUCAACUUUCGAUGUUUGGGUAUUGGCCAAACAUGGUGGCAACGGGUAACGGAGGGUUAGGGCUCGACCCCGGAGAAGGAGCCUGAGAAACGGCUACUACAUCCAAGGAAGGCAGCAGGCGCGCAAAUUACCCAAUCCCGACACGGGGAGGUAGUGACAAUAAAUACUGAUACAGGGCUCUUUUGGGUCUUGUAAUCGGAAUGAGUACAAUUUAAAUCCCUUAACGAGGAACAAUUGGAGGGCAAGUCUGGUGCCAGCAGCCGCGGUAAUUCCAGCUCCAAUAGCGUAUAUUAAAGUUGUUGUCGUUAAAAAGCUCGUAGUUGAACCUUGGGCCUGGCUGGCCGGUCCGCCUCACCGCGUGCACUGGUCCGGCCGGGCCUUUCCCUCUGCGGAACCCCAUGCCCUUCACUGGGUGUCGCGGGGAAACAGGACUUUUACUUUGAAAAAAUUAGAGUGCUCAAGGCAGGCCUAUGCUCGAAUACAUUAGCAUGGAAUAAUAGGACGUGUGGUUCUAUUUUGUUGGUUUCUAGGACCGCCGUAAUGAUUAAUAGGGACAGUCGGGGGCAUCAGUAUUCAAUUGUCAGAGGUGAAAUUCUUGGAUUUAUUGAAGACUAACUACUGCGAAAGCAUUUGCCAAGGAUGUUUUCAUUAAUCAGGGAACGAAAGUUAGGGGAUCGAAGACGAUCAGAUACCGUCGUAGUCUUAACCAUAAACUAUGCCGACUAGGGAUCGGACGAUGUUACAUUUUUGACGCGUUCGGCACCUUACGAGAAAUCAAAGUGCUUGGGCUC
RNAcentral lists this ribosomal RNA (1050 nucleotides) under Trichoderma citrinoviride. RNAcentral describes it as "SSU rRNA". It matches the Rfam family "Eukaryotic small subunit ribosomal RNA", at positions 50 to 1114 of the family's 1831-position model. Lineage: Eukaryota; Fungi; Ascomycota; Sordariomycetes; Hypocreales; Hypocreaceae. The record is from RNAcentral.